RNAcentral lists this small RNA (107 nucleotides) under Marmota monax (woodchuck). The record is from RNAcentral. Lineage: Eukaryota; Metazoa; Chordata; Mammalia; Rodentia; Sciuridae.
GCUGGGUGUGGUGGUGCACACCUGUAAUCCCAGAGGCUUGGGACGCUGAGGCAGGAGGAUCACAAGUUCAAGGACAGCCUCAGCAACUUAGUGACAGCCUGCCUCAA